AUGGGGCUGUCGUGAACCAUCUGCAGAUCGACUUUGGGUCCCACCAGGUCACGGAUAUUGUUGAUACCAUACUUGAUCAUAGUUGGCCUGAUUGAUUAUAAUUUUGUUAUAUUAUAUAUGCUCACCAGUUCAAUUUUAAUUUUGAAAAUUACCUUUCGAGAGACAAUCCCCAGCCGUAAAUAUUCACAUUUUCAGGCAAGCCCAUCGGCAACAACAUUUCUGGUCUGAACAUUCCCGAGUUUCCAAUCUCGAUCCAUUUUUUCAAACCUUCAUGAUAGCUGAAGAUUUCCAUGCUUGGCUCUGUGUAAGGAUUGUAUGCUGGCUUGAAGUAAAGCUUCUCAAUGCCCAGUUUCUUAAAGAACUCGUAAAGUACGCCUGGAAAGUCAGCAAUCACGCCUUCUACUUGGUGGAAUUCUGCAAGGUGGGUUGCGUCCAAGGUUUCAUUUCGGAACACCCUGUCGAUGCUGAAGUACUUCACCGGUCUGAAGCCCUCCUUUGCCAACUUGUGAAGCAUCCGAGCGCUGACCGCUGUGCUGUGGGUUCUCAGCAGGUUUUUCUGAGCUUCACCAAUUUUCCAGUCAUAACCAUAGCCCUGUGAACCAUGGCCCCCCUUGCUAUGGACGGUCUUAACCUUUUCUAGUUAGCAAAUCUACCUGACAAGAAAAAUGUAUCAUGAGCGUCUCUGGCUGGAUGUUGCUGGGGUUGAAAGAGGGCAUCAAAGUUCCAGAAAGAGCUCUCGACAUAAUUAUUAGUAGGCAUCUCGGUGAAUCUAUUAGUAAAUAAUUCAGACAUUAAAACGAUAACAAUAAAAUAUAAAAUAGUUAAUUUUAAUAUACCCCAUUUCAAGGAAGAUUUGUCUGAACUCGGCCCGAACUUUAAGCAGGGGGUGCAAAUGUCCACAAGGAGGUGGAACUCCAAGGGCGCCUAGAUUGUACUCCUUGAAUUGUUUUGAUUUCCACGUGCCCUGCGCAAUCAUCUCAGGAGUAAGGUCAGUUUCAGGUUUACUAAUGGACAGGUUGAACUCUGGCCCCUUGCUAAGAUGAAAACCUUUGACCACAACUUCUUGGAGAAGCUUCCGUUUCUUGUACUCUUGUUUCUGUUCAUCACUAAUCUUGUCAACUCCUUUUUGAAGUUGAGACAAAUUGAUUUGCACAACGUCAUCAAUGCUGGCCACCUUCUUUUUAAUAAUGGGCUGUCCGGAAGACUUGUCCAUCACAAUCCAGCCAGCAGACAUGGCUUUGCUGAAUCCAACUUUUGCGUUCGGUGCUUUCUUCAAAAAUUAAUUCAGAUAUUCAAUUAAAAUAUUCUGGUAAGGUAAUUAUUUUUUAGCAUACCAUAAGCUCAGGCUGAGGAAUCCCUUUGUCUGGAACUGCAUUAUAAACUACGGCCUCAUGACUACCUUUUUCGGCAACCAAUUUGCCUUCUGCUGUCAGCUCCCAUUGUUUUCUUGUGUACUGCUCUACGGCUAUGACCUGAAGACGCGACAAAUUUAAGUUAUAUACAUUUGUAAAAUAUAUUUCUUGAUGAUAUUUACGUUUCCUAAAGCUUCAAGACUUUUGAUUGCUCCAACAAUUUUUUGACUGUCCUCUUUCCAUUCAUCAGCCAGCAGGAGUGAAUCUCCUUUUCCCUUGGAAUCAAGGUACUGAAGGAUCUUUUCCGGGAGCGUAACACUCAUUUCUUGAAACAGAUAAUACAGAAUAUUAAAACAAGGAUCAAGAGAGAAGAAAAUGCAAGAAAAUAAAAGUUCUUAAAAAAAGCGUUUGAUUGCUGAUCUGCAUGUAAAAUGUAAUACAAUAGGGUCCAAUAUAAUAUUAAGGAUUGUCCCAACUACAUUUAAUCUUAAUAAUAUAAGAAAUUAUUUUGAGAUGAUGUCUUAAAUUUGCAAAUUUUGGCUAAAUCUUACUUGAUAUCACGACAAAACAACUGUCACACGUGGAUUCCUUUCAUCACACUUUCAUCAUCAGAGAGGCGAAGAAAAUAGAAAAUCAGCCUGUUUCACGCCCCCUUUUGUAGUUCUUAUUUAAUUCAACAGAGGGCUUUAGCAAGUGCAAUAAUUAAUUUUCAAUCCUGGUUGAAAAUGCUGAUUUUUUGCUUGUUUUUUGAAAUUGGAAUUAUAUACCAGACUUGUAAUUUUUAUUAUAGUAAAAAGUGGUAAAAAGAAAUAAACAAUUUAAAUAUCGUUUUAAAGUAAAAAUAAAAUAAAACAAUUUUUUAUGCUUGUGUAAUUAUUAAUAAAUAAUUCAAUUUCACAGUUAAAAAUGCUGCAUGAUACAAUUAGGGCGGCUUGAAUAUUUCACAGAAGGUCACUUAUUAAUUACAUACUAGAA
Molecule: long non-coding RNA, 2327 nt
Organism: Neocloeon triangulifer
Lineage: Eukaryota; Metazoa; Arthropoda; Insecta; Ephemeroptera; Baetidae
Exons: 3
Source: RefSeq, a predicted model, not a curated record